CUGAGGAAUACAUUUUUUUAAGUACUGGUAAAGGUGUGCAAGAAUUAUUUACAUUUAUGAGACACAAAUAUUUGCGACAUAAAUAAUCAGGACUAGUUAAAUUGCUUUCAUUGUAGCAGUGGCAAAUGCCUUUUACAAAUACGCUGAUAUGAAAUGCCCAAAGAGAAUAGAUAGCAAUUGUACACAAACAUCUGUGAAGUUCCAAUACAUUACCAAACAAAAACGUUGUUUAAACAGGAACCGCCUUAACGAAGUGAGUGAUAGAAUUUAUGAAAAUAUCAUACAAAAUACAAUAGGCCGAGACACAAUGAAAUGCAAAAAGAACGUCAAAAAAAAAAAAAACAAAAAAAAAAACGCCUCUCUUACCUCAUCUUCAUUUUCUGUAACGUCAAUUGUUAUCAUGCUCGAGCCAAAAUGAAAACUGCGCUCCUUUUUCAGAGUCCCACCAGCAGGAAGCGUGUUUUCAUUAUAAGAGCUCACAAACUUAAAGUCACUGGUGCGCGAGCCGGUGGUUAGAUACGCGUCAUAAUUGUAAGAGCUGCGGAGAGUUCCUGCUCCAUCCACCUCUGCAUAGUUGGGAGGGAGAUAGGCGCUGGGAACAGCAACUGCUCCAUCAAACAACAGUCUGGGCUUUCUCCUGUGACAAAACUUUACUGCCACAAUCAGUAUGAUGAACGUCAGGAAGAAGGUGGACACGCAAACUAAUGCAAUGAUCAAAUAUGACGUUAAUUUAGAGUUGUUUUCCUCAUAAGUCAUAUCUUUCAGUUCAGGAACUUCAGAAAGGUUGUCAGAAAUGAGUAAAUUUACAGCACAGGUUGUAGACAGAGAGGGCUGACCGUUGUCCUUCACUGAAAUAACAAGGUUCUGCUUCAUAUUGUCAGAUUCAGAAAUGUCUCGUUGUGUUUUGAUCUCUCCACUGUGGAGACCAAUGGAGAAAAGUCCAGGAUCAGUAGAUUUGACAAUCUGAUAGGACAGCCAUGCAUUCUGUCCAGAGUCAGCAUCUACAGCGAUCACCUUGGACACCAGAGAGCCUGAGAGAGUCGCUUUAGGGACCAUUUCAGUCAUUAAAGACUUUCCAUCAGGAACAGGGUAUAAUAUCUGUGGAGAGUUAUCAUUCUCAUCUGUUAUGAAGACUUUCACAGUCACGUUACUGCUCAGCGGUGGAGAUCCAUUGUCUCUGGCAACAACUUUGACAGUGAAGUUUCUGAACUGCUCAUAGUCAAAUGAUCUUACAGCAUGAAUCACCCCUGUAUCUCCAUUAAUAGAUAGAAAUGAGGAAACUGGGACCCCACUGACUUCACUGGGAACCAGAGAGUACAGUACAGUCCCGUUCUGUCUCCAGUCUGGGUCAUUUGCACUGACAGAACAAACAGAAGUGUCUGGUUUGUUAUUUUCACUUAUAUAAGCGCUGUAGGACUGCUGCUCAAAUACAGGAGGAUUGUCAUUCACAUCUGAGACAAAUAAAUGAAUUGUCAUGGAGGUGGAUAAUGGUGGAGAUCCCCCAUCUGUGGCUGUGAUGGUAAUGUUAUAAUCAGAUUCUUUCUCUCUGUCUAGAGCUUUUGUAGUCACUAGAGAGAAAUAAUUUUUAAAAGAUGGGUUCAGUCUGAAAGGAACAUUUUGCUGAACAGAACAACGAAUAUGCCGGUUUUCUCCUGAAUCUUUGUCUUGAACAUUAAUGAUUCCCACCUCAGUGCCUGGCUCAGAGUUUUCAGUUACUGGACUGUUCAAAGAUUUAAGGAUGAUUCUAGGUGGAUUAUCAUUAACAUCAGUUACAUCUAUUAUAACCUUUGCAGUUGAUGCUAACCCAGAACCAUCCUGAGCGUGGAUGCCCAUUUCAUAGUUUUUUUCAUUUUCAUAAUCAGUUUCACCGAUCAGCAAAAUUUUUCCUGUUUUCUUAUCAAUAGAAAAUAAUUUUGCAGCUUUAUCUGAUAUUCUACUGAAUUCAUACGUCACUUCCCCGUUUGGACCUUCAUCAGCAUCAGUGGCGCUCACUCUGAUUAUUUCUGUUCCUGAAGGUGUAUUUUCAGCCAGAGUGACUUUAUAAACAGACUCACUAAACACUGGGACAUUAUCAUUAGCAUCGAGAACAGUGAUGUGUAUGACAGCAGUGCCAGACCUCUGCGGUGAACCACCAUCAGUGGCUGUGAGGAUCAUAUCUAUCUCCUUCUGCUGCUCACGAUCCAACUCCUUUUCCAACACGAGUUCAGCGUAUUUUCCUCCAUCUGCACUAACAUGAACAUUCAAAACAAAAUGUUCGUUUCCCUCCAGUGAAAAGCUAUUGACCGUAUUAUGCCCAAUAUCUGAAUCAUGAGCCUCAUGCAAACGGAAUUUCUGGCCUUUGUCUGCUGAUUCUGUAAUUUCCAAAUUAAUACGUUCAUUUGGAAAUCGUGGUGCGUUGUCAUUUAUAUCCUGAAUUUGCAGAAUUAUAUGGUGCACUUCAAGUGGGUUUUCCAGGACAAGCUCAUAUUUGAGAAUGCAGGACAUUCGAGAUCCACAAAGCUCCUCUCGGUCUAUUGUCUCUGCCACGAUUAAAUCACCAGUAUUCAGAUUAAUAUCACAAUACCGUUUGCUGCUGUCCUCCGUGUCUAUCCGAGCAUUACGAGCAGACAUUUUUUUCACAUCCAUCCUCAGAUCCUUGGCUAUAUUUCCAGUUACAUACUGGCGCUUCGUUUCUUCCGGAAUAUUGUAGCUCAGAUCAUCGCAGACGGUUCUCAGAGCAAAGAGAAGGAGAGCAACGAAAUACGUGAAAAAACGAAAUGAAAAUAAUCCGUGUUCCAUUUUUGAAGAUUUGAUGCUGCAAAUACUCAACAGUUAGUGACACUUUAACGGAUGAUUUUCCAAUGUUCUAUCGGUGUCUACGGACGGUUAGUCCAUUUUUGCGCAACGUUUAUUCUAGCAGACAGAGCUCAUAUUGCAUGCUUUAAUUGUGGGAGGAGAGACGUAUCACACUGCAUUCUUGGUGAAUAGCGACACUGUGAGUAUUUUUCUGCUCAUUGCGUCAUGCAUGAAAAGGCGACGGGUAUGGACCAGAAUAAGUCCGUUGUGUUUUGUUGUUGUUGUUGUUGUUUCCCAAAGGGUGCUAUUUUGCAAUAUUUAUUUACUUUAAAAAAA
Cyprinus carpio carpio is the source of this 3111-nucleotide long non-coding RNA. NCBI's taxonomy places the organism in Eukaryota, Metazoa, Chordata, Actinopteri, Cypriniformes, Cyprinidae. The record is from Ensembl.